AUGAACGCUGGCGGCGUGCCUAAUCCAUGCCCGUCGAGCGAACAGACGAGGAGCUUGCUCCUCUGACGUUAGCGGCGGACGGGUGAGUAACACGUGGAUAACCUACCUAUAAGACUGGGAUAACUUCGGGAAACCGGAGCUAAUACCGGAUAAUAUAUUGAACCGCAUGGUUCAAUAGUGAAAGACGGUUUUGCUGUCACUUAUAGAUGGAUCCGCGCCGCAUUAGCUAGUUGGUAAGGUAACGGCUUACCAAGGCGACGAUGCGUAGCCGACCUGAGAGGGUGAUCGGCCACACUGGAACUGAGACACGGUCCAGACUCCUACGGGAGGCAGCAGUAGGGAAUCUUCCGCAAUGGGCGAAAGCCUGACGGAGCAACGCCGCGUGAGUGAUGAAGGUCUUCGGAUCGUAAAACUCUGUUAUUAGGGAAGAACAAAUGUGUAAGUAACUAUGCACGUCUUGACGGUACCUAAUCAGAAAGCCACGGCUAACUAUGUG
Molecule: ribosomal RNA, 496 nt
Filed under: uncultured bacterium
Lineage: Bacteria
Description: partial 16S ribosomal RNA
Rfam family: Bacterial small subunit ribosomal RNA
Source: RNAcentral